GACGAACGCUGGCGGCGUGCCUAAUACAUGCAAGUAGAACGCAGUUCCGAACGGGUGAGUAACGCGUAGGGAAAUGCCUGGUAGCGGGGGAUAACUAUUGGAAACGAUAGCUAAUACCGCAUACUACCAGAUGGACAUGCGUUGUAUUAGCUAGUUGGUGGGGCAACGGGUCACCAAGGCCACGAUACAUAGCCGACGUGGGAGGGUGAUCGGCCACACUGGGAAUUGGACACGGCCCAGACUCCUACGGGAGGCAGCAGUAGGGAAUCUUCGGCAAUGGACGGAAGGCUGACCGAGCAACGGCGCGUGAGUGAAGAAGGUUUUCGGAGCGUAAAGCUAUGUUGUAAGAGAAGCGGUAUCGUACCAGAAAGGGACGGCUAACUACGUGCCAGCAGCCGCGGUAAUAC
Molecule: ribosomal RNA, 407 nt
Filed under: uncultured bacterium
Lineage: Bacteria
Description: partial 16S ribosomal RNA
Rfam family: Bacterial small subunit ribosomal RNA
Source: RNAcentral